GCCGGGCAUGGUGGCACAUGCCUGUAAUCCCAGUGGUUCUGGAGGCUGAGGCAGGAGUGUUGCAAGUUCAAAGCCAGCCUUAGCUACUUAGGGAGACCCCAAGUAACUGAGCAAGCCCCUGUCUCAA
Molecule: small RNA, 127 nt
Filed under: Marmota monax (woodchuck)
Lineage: Eukaryota; Metazoa; Chordata; Mammalia; Rodentia; Sciuridae
Source: RNAcentral